GUCUACAGCCAUGCCACCCUGAACGUGCCUGAUCUUGUUUGAUCUUAGAAGCUAAACAGGGUCGGGCCUGGUUACUACUUGGAUGGGAGACCACCUAGGAAGACCAGGUGCUGUAGAGG
RNAcentral lists this ribosomal RNA (119 nucleotides) under Pteropus alecto (black flying fox). Lineage: Eukaryota; Metazoa; Chordata; Mammalia; Chiroptera; Pteropodidae. The record is from RNAcentral.